CUAAGUUCGGGGGCAAUCCCAGUCCCGAUCUCCAACCCUUUGUGAACAUAUCUUGUUGCUUCGGGGGCGACCCUGCCGUUCGCGGCAUUCCCCCCGGAGGUCAUCAAAACACUGCAUUAUUACGUCGGAGUAAAAAGUUAAUUUAAUA
RNAcentral lists this unclassified non-coding RNA (148 nucleotides) under uncultured Mycosphaerellaceae. Lineage: Eukaryota; Fungi; Ascomycota; Dothideomycetes; Mycosphaerellales; Mycosphaerellaceae. The record is from RNAcentral.